This 794-nucleotide long non-coding RNA is filed under the name Phascolarctos cinereus (koala). RNAcentral describes it as "lncRNA (ENSPCIG00000014205.2)". The record is from RNAcentral. Lineage: Eukaryota; Metazoa; Chordata; Mammalia; Diprotodontia; Phascolarctidae.
AUUUAAUCUUUUUUCAAUUAACAAAAAUCUAUUUUUCUCCCUUUUACCUCCCCCAGCCUUCACUGAAAAGAAGAGCAAAACCCUUGUAACCAAUAUGCAUGGUUAAGCAAAAUAAAUUUCUGUGUUGGCUGUGUCCAAAAAAUAAAUAUAUCAUUGCCAGGAGGUGAGUAAUGUGGUUCAUUAUUGGUAUGAUGAAAUUAUGGUUGGUCCCUGUGCUGAUCACAGUGUAAUGAAGUCUUUCAAAGUUUUUUUUAAAAUUAAAUUUAUUUUUUAAAUGAACAAAAACAUUUUUUUUUCUCCCUCCCAAUUCCUAAUCCUAGAUACCUUCUCCAGAUAAGCAGCACAACAAGACACACAGAGGCAGAUGAAGAGGCUCUUGGGAUCCUGGACCAUGCACAAUGUGUGGGAAGGAGGUCAGUAUCACUGAACUUGGCUGGGACUUGUGCUCGAUUCACAACAAUGGAGACCACCCUGAAAUUCAAAGGAAGGGAAAAAGGACCUGGUGCUGCUCAUACAGAUGCGGGCUCUGCUGCCAGACACUGACAUAGACUCCAUCGAUGCUGUUCCAUUAGAUGCUGUUCAGCCGGACGCCUGAUCUCCAAUAUCUCCAGUUUCUAGCUCAGCUGGGAUCUGUGGCUAUCCCCUUCUCAAGGGAUGAGCACGUGCUCCCAUGAUUUUUAAAGUUUAAAUCAUAAGUUUGUAUACUUUUUUUCCCCUCCUGGCUGUUUUACAAAAGGUAGAAGCCUUGUCUGGAACAGUAAAAACCCUCCUCUCUAGUUCUCCUAUCUUUUUUU